RNAcentral lists this ribosomal RNA (546 nucleotides) under uncultured delta proteobacterium. RNAcentral's name for it is "bacterial SSU rRNA". It matches the Rfam family "Bacterial small subunit ribosomal RNA", at positions 355 to 897 of the family's 1533-position model. Lineage: Bacteria; Deltaproteobacteria. The record is from RNAcentral.
UGGGGAAUAUUGGUCAAUGGGCGAAAGCCUGAACCAGCAAUGCCGCGUGAGUGAUGAAGGCCUUCGGGUUGUAAAGCUCUGUCAGUGGGAACGAAGAAGUCGAUUAAUACUCGAUGGUGACGGUACCUACAAAGGAAGCACCGGCUAACUCUGUGCCAGCAGCCGCGGUAAUACAGAGGGUGCAAGCGUUGUUCGGAAUUACUGGGCGUAAAGCGCGUGUAGGCGGUUUAGUAAGUCGAUCGUGAAAGCCCUUGGCUUAACCAAGGAACUGCGGUCGAAACUACUAGACUAGAGUAUCGGAGGGGGUGGCGGAAUUCCCGGUGUAGAGGUGAAAUUCGUAGAUAUCGGGAGGAACACCUGUGGCGAAGGCGGCCACCUGGAAGACUACUGACGCUGAGACGCGAAAGCGUGGGGAGCAAACAGGAUUAGAUACCCUGGUAGUCCACGCCGUAAACUAUGAGUGCUAGGUGUUGCGGGUAUUGACCCCUGCAGUGCCAAAGCUAACGCGUUAAGCACUCCGCCUGGGGAGUACGGUCGCAAGAUUAA